This 468-nucleotide ribosomal RNA is filed under the name uncultured bacterium. RNAcentral's name for it is "partial 16S ribosomal RNA". It matches the Rfam family "Bacterial small subunit ribosomal RNA", at positions 28 to 507 of the family's 1533-position model. The record is from RNAcentral.
GACGAACGCUGGCGGCGUGCUUAACACAUGCAAGUCGAACGGAAAGGCCCUGCUUUUGUGGGGUGCUCGAGUGGCGAACGGGUGAGUAAUACGUGAGUAACCUGCCCUUGACUUUGGGAUAACUUCAGGAAACUGGGGCUAAUACCGGAUAGGAGCUCCUGCUGCAUGGUGGGGGUUGGAAAGUUUCGGCGGUUGGGGAUGGACUCGCGGCUUAUCAGCUUGUUGGUGGGGUAGUGGCUUACCAAGGCUUUGACGGGUAGCCGGCCUGAGAGGGUGACCGGCCACAUUGGGCCUGAGAUACGGCCCAGACUCCUACGGGAGGCAGCAGUGGGGAAUAUUGCACAAUGGGCGGAAGCCUGAUGCAGCAACGCCGCGUGCGGGAUGACGGCCUUCGGGUUGUAAACCGCUUUCGCCUGUGACGAAGCGUGAGUGACGGUAAUGGGUAAAGAAGCACCGGCUAACUACGUG